This 628-nucleotide ribosomal RNA is filed under the name bacterium TN50C. RNAcentral describes it as "bacterial SSU rRNA". It matches the Rfam family "Bacterial small subunit ribosomal RNA", at positions 16 to 654 of the family's 1533-position model. The record is from RNAcentral.
AUCCUGGCUCAGGAUGAACGCUGGCGGCGUGCUUAACACAUGCAAGUCGAACGAUGAUCUCCAGCUUGCUGGGGGGAUUAGUGGCGAACGGGUGAGUAACACGUGAGUAACCUGCCCUUGACUCUGGGAUAAGCCUGGGAAACUGGGUCUAAUACCGGAUAUGACCAUCUGGCGCAUGUCAUGGUGGUGGAAAGCUUUUUUGUGGUUUUGGAUGGACUCGCGGCCUAUCAGCUUGUUGGUGGGGUAAUGGCCUACCAAGGCGACGACGGGUAGCCGGCCUGAGAGGGUGACCGGCCACACUGGGACUGAGACACGGCCCAGACUCCUACGGGAGGCAGCAGUGGGGAAUAUUGCACAAUGGGCGCAAGCCUGAUGCAGCGACGCCGCGUGAGGGAUGACGGCCUUCGGGUUGUAAACCUCUUUCAGUAGGGAAGAAGCGUAAGUGACGGUACCUGCAGAAGAAGCGCCGGCUAACUACGUGCCAGCAGCCGCGGUAAUACGUAGGGCGCAAGCGUUAUCCGGAAUUAUUGGGCGUAAAGAGCUCGUAGGCGGUUUGUCGCGUCUGCUGUGAAAGACCGGGGCUCAACUCCGGUUCUGCAGUGGGUACGGGCAGACUAGAGUGCAGUAG